GACGAACGCUGGCGGCGUGCUUAACACAUGCAAGUCGAACGGAAAGGCCCUGCUUUUGUGGGGUGCUCGAGUGGCGAACGGGUGAGUAACGCGUGAGUAACCUGCCCUUGACUUUGGGAUAACUUCAGGAAACUGGGGCUAAUACCGGAUAGGAGCUCCUGCUGCAUGGUGGGGGUUGGAAAGUUUCGGCGGUUGGGGAUGGACUCGCGGCUUAUCAGCUUGUUGGUGGGGUAGUGGCUUACCAAGGCUUUGACGGGUAGCCAGCCUGAGAGGGUGACCGGCCACAUUGGGACUGAGAUACGGCCCAGACUCCUACGGGAGGCAGCAGUGGGGAAUAUUGCACAAUGGGCGGAAGCCUGAUGCAGCAACGCCGCGUGCGGGAUGACGGCCUUCGGGUUGUAAACCGCUUUCGCCUGUGACGAAGCGUGAGUGACGGUAAUGGGUAAAGAAGCACCGGCUAACUACGUG
Molecule: ribosomal RNA, 468 nt
Filed under: uncultured bacterium
Lineage: Bacteria
Description: partial 16S ribosomal RNA
Rfam family: Bacterial small subunit ribosomal RNA
Source: RNAcentral